AUUGAACGCUGGCGGCAGGCCUAACACAUGCAAGUCGAGCGGAUGAAGGGAGCUUGCUCCUGGAUUCAGCGGCGGACGGGUGAGUAAUGCCUAGGAAUCUGCCUGGUAUUUGGGGAUAACGUCCGGAAACGGGCGCUAAUACCGCAUACGUCCUGAUGUAGAAAGUGGGGGAUCUUCGGACCUCACGCUAUCAGAUGAGCCUAGGUCGGAUUAGCUAGUUGGUGGGGUAAAGGCCUACCAAGGCGACGAUCCGUAACUGGUCUGAGAGGAUGAUCAGUCACACUGGAACUGAGACACGGUCCAGACUCCUACGGGAGGCAGCAGUGGGGAAUAUUGGACAAUGGGCGAAAGCCUGAUCCAGCCAUGCCGCGUGUGUGAAGAAGGUCUUCGGAUUGUAAAGCACUUUAAGUUGGGAGGAAGGGCAGUAAGUUAAUACCUUGCUGUUUUGACGUUACCAACAGAAUAAGCACCGGCUAACUUCGUG
This 484-nucleotide ribosomal RNA is filed under the name uncultured bacterium. RNAcentral's name for it is "partial 16S ribosomal RNA". It matches the Rfam family "Bacterial small subunit ribosomal RNA", at positions 30 to 507 of the family's 1533-position model. The record is from RNAcentral.